This 253-nucleotide ribosomal RNA is filed under the name uncultured bacterium. Its description in RNAcentral is "partial 16S ribosomal RNA". It matches the Rfam family "Bacterial small subunit ribosomal RNA", at positions 524 to 776 of the family's 1533-position model. The record is from RNAcentral.
UACGGGGGGGGCAAGCGUUGUUCGGAAUCACUGGGCGUAAAGGGAACGUAGGCGGGCUUCUAAGUUAGAUGUUUAAUCCCGGGGCCCAACCCCGGACAGGCACCUAAAACUGGAAGUCUUGAAUAGUGGAGAGGACGGCGGAAUUGGGGGUGUAGCGGUGGAAUGCGUAGAGAUCCCCAAGAACACCAGUUGCGAAGGCGGCCGUCUGGACACAUAUUGACGCUGAGGCUCGAAAGCAUGGGGAGCAAACAGG